Molecule: long non-coding RNA, 870 nt
Organism: Peromyscus maniculatus bairdii (prairie deer mouse)
Lineage: Eukaryota; Metazoa; Chordata; Mammalia; Rodentia; Cricetidae
Source: RefSeq, a predicted model, not a curated record
AGGAACUGAGCUGCAAUAAAGAGAAAUGGCACUGAAAAUUUCAUCGCUGGCUUCUAUGACAGCACGUGGGAGGAGAGGCUGCCAGCAGGAGCAGCUGGAGGAGCAGAAGGAGCAGGACUGGAUUCAACUCUGCAGCAUGAAGCAGCCACCCGGCUCCUGGUCACCUUUCUUCUGCUGUUAAAUGACCUGCAAUGACUUCUGUAGUUCUGUCUGAAAUCCUCCGCCUUACUGCCAGGUCUAUCGCAGCGUGGCCUCACGGAGGAGUUGUGACGAUGUGAUGCCGCUCUGCACGGACUCCUGUGAAAACCACCGCCUUGGCUGCCACUGCUGAACCACGCCGACGGCUGUCACAGCCACCUCCGUGAGCGGCCGAUGGGCAGACAGUUCGGACAACUCUGUCAGGCAAAUGCUAACUGUCCACUGUGUAUUCAGCCAACAAUUGGUUUUGAUUUACUUGUUUGGCCCAAAGGAAUUUAGUGCCAUCUGAAAUAUUCAGAAGUUUUACUAUGUAUUUCUCUCCUAAUUUAAUUUCCUUAAAUUGGUCUGUUUCUCUUUACAUUAUACAAACUGAUGGUCACUGGUUCUUUUUCACUUAUAGAAAUGUGUUCUUUAGGAUGUAUUAACAUUAAAACAUGUAACAUUUAGUAUAUAUUUAAUUCAGAGGAGACCUAGUCAGAAUGGUUGUAGCAGCCAAGAAAAACCUAAUUCUAUGUAUCUAUGAUAAUGGCUAAAAGAUGCCACUGAGAAUAUGGACUUUUUCUCUCAUAUACUCAGUAGUAAUCAGGAGCACAACUGAGUCAAUCUGGAUUAACAUCUUUCAGUUGGUUUGAUACAUCCAAGAAUUUAUAUAAUGUAAUUGCUACUUACAGG